GGGUGCGAUCGUACCAGCACUAAUGCACCAGAUCCCAUCAGAAUUCGCAGUGAAGCGUGCUUGGGCGAGAGUAGUAUUAGGAUGGGUGAUCUCCCGGAAAGUCCUCGUGUUGAACCUU
Molecule: ribosomal RNA, 118 nt
Filed under: Brassica napus (rape)
Lineage: Eukaryota; Viridiplantae; Streptophyta; Magnoliopsida; Brassicales; Brassicaceae
Source: RNAcentral